UUGAACGCUGGCGGCAGGCCUAACACAUGCAAGUCGAGCGGAUGAAGGGAGCUUUCUCCUGGAUUCAGCGGCGGACGGGUGAGUAAUGCCUAGGAAUCUGCCUGGUAGUGGGGGAUAACGUCCGGAAACGGGCGCUAAUACCGCAUACGUCCUGAGGGAGAAAGUGGGGGAUCUUCGGACCUCACGCUAUCAGAUGAGCCUAGGUCGGAUUAGCUAGUUGGUGGGGUAAAGGCCUACCAAGGCGACGAUCCGUAACUGGUCUGAGAGGAUGAUCAGUCACACUGGAACUGAGACACGGUCCAGACUCCUACGGGAGGCAGCAGUGGGGAAUAUUGGACUAUGGGCGAAAGCCUGAUCCAGCCAUGCCGCGUGUGUGAAGAAGGUCUUCGGAUUGUAAAGCACUUUAAGUUGGGAGGAAGGGCAGUAAGUUAAUACCUUGCUGUUUUGACGUUACCAACAGAAUAAGCACCGGCUAACUUCGUG
Molecule: ribosomal RNA, 483 nt
Filed under: uncultured bacterium
Lineage: Bacteria
Description: partial 16S ribosomal RNA
Rfam family: Bacterial small subunit ribosomal RNA
Source: RNAcentral